CCUUAAGACUCAAAUAUAUGUUGGAGAUAGGUUGAUGGAAGCCCAAUGUGGUGCCCGGAGCUGAGGCCUGGUUAUAGGGCAUUUCCAAGUCUCUGGGAAAUGUCCCUCCUCUCAGAAGAGGGGAUGGAGUAAUGCCAUCACAUCUCAGGUAAAUUCCCUCACCAUCUGGUAGCCCAAUGCCUAGAGAGUUUGACAGGCUUUCUCAAAUUUGAGUCCCCUUUGAUUGUUUGAAGGCCAAACGCUGGACCCAGAAUUACCUGGCAUGAAUUUUGGCUAUCAAGUUUGCUCAUGUCAGGCUGGUCCACAUAGAGUUGAGCUUCUACAAAGCUGGCCUUCUGGUUGUGAGUGUACUGUGUCAACCCAGUGCUUUUAGGGGGCAGGCUGCACUCAUACCCAUGCUCUUUCUCUCUCCAGGUCUCCUCAAACUUCUUCCCUCACAUCCGAGUCUCUUCCUCCCCUAGGAGUCUCCUGGUGCAUGGAACUGACCUGAAACUGGAGUUCCCCCAAAGCCUCUGUCUUCCUUCUGUAGCUGAGCUGCUUCAGCCUCUGUGGGACACUCAUUUGAAGGAACCUGUCUAAAUCCAUGUAAGGU
This 592-nucleotide long non-coding RNA is filed under the name Sus scrofa (pig). RNAcentral's name for it is "lncRNA (ENSSSCG00040065635.1)". The record is from RNAcentral. Lineage: Eukaryota; Metazoa; Chordata; Mammalia; Artiodactyla; Suidae.